This 602-nucleotide ribosomal RNA is filed under the name marine sediment metagenome. RNAcentral's name for it is "LSU rRNA". It matches the Rfam family "Bacterial large subunit ribosomal RNA", at positions 4 to 549 of the family's 2925-position model. The record is from RNAcentral.
CAAGCUACCAACGGUCUAUGGUGGAUGCCUAGGCACUAAGAGCCGAUGAAGGGCGUGGCAAGCAACGAAACUGCUCCGGUGAGCUGCAAGCAAGCUGGGACCCGGAGAUUCCCGAAUGGGGCAACCCGGCGCCGGUAACGCGGCGUCACCACCGCCUGAAUAAAAUAGGGCGGCUGGAGGCAAGCGGGCGAACUGAAACAUCUUAGUAGCCCGAGGAAAGGAAAGCAAUCGCGACUCCCCUAGUAGCGGCGAGCGAACGGGGAAGAGCCUAAACCCGACUGGUGUCAAGCCUGCAGGCGUUGCUGGUCGGGGGUCGCGGGAAGAGUCCGGAGGUGCUGCAGCCCUCCAGCCCGGAAGCUUCACCUAGCUGAAUGCGUCUGGAAAGACAAGCCGCAGAGGGUAAUAGCCCCGUAAGCGAAAGGUGAAGACUGGUUAAAUGCCCAGUCCCUGGCGACUCUCUCCCAAGUAGCACGGGACACGAGAUAUCCCGUGUGAAUCUGUGGGGACCAUCCCAUAAGGCUAAGUACUCUUAGUGACCGAUAGUGGACAAGUACCGUGAGGGAAAGGUGAAAAGAACCCCGGUGAGGGGAGUGAAAUAGAAC